UUUAGAAAUAUGAUUGUGCAGUUCUGAUUGAAGAAGUGGCUGGGAAUUAAUUGAAUUGGCAGGAUUGAAUGUGCUUGUAAAUAGGUUCAGUUUCUUUUGAGUUUUUGUUUUGGGUUUUUCUUUUUAGAUGGAGUCUUUAUUUUCAUUUUAGUUUUCCUUGUCAAGAAGAGUAGUUUUUUAAGUGUGGGGGGUGUGAUAACUCUCCAUUUUUUCAUAUUUUUCUUACUUUAGAAGUUANUUUAGCUUCUUAUUUUCUAGAAUUAGGUUAGUUUAGCAUUUUUUCUUUAAUUUUAGNGUUUUGUAAAAAUAGUAUUAAUUUUGUGUUUUUAGAUAAUAAAUAGUAUUUUUUUUAUGUUGUUUUGUUUUUCUCUUUAAAUGUAAAAAUUUGUUUUUCAGAGUUAUAGGAUUUUAUUUUUUUAUUAAACUCUUAAAUUCUUUCUUUUAUGUAGAUAAAGGGAUGAAGAAAAUACAUUGAACUGGGUAAAAAGAGUGUUGUUUGGGCCAAGGUCUAAUGGGUCAGCAUUGUUAGGAAGCCCAGAGUUUUAAUAUGUUGUAGCUGAAGUUGAUAUAUGCAUACUAUGAUUUCUAUCUUGUUUGAUGUCAAGACUAUUGUGGUUCUUUCAGUCGAAGAUAAUAUUUUUCGGGUUCUCAAAGUAAAUUGUUAUUCAAUUAGCGGCAUGUUUGAAUUUUAUUUAUUUGUUUAAAAAUUUACACAAAGCAUUUUCUAUGAUAGCUUGGAUNAUGAAUCUGCUUGGUGAGGGCAUUUUUGAGGAGCUAGUACAGGUGGAUUCUAAACUUAAACUCCCUAUCUGUUUGGCUGAGUGGUUUUUCUGUUACUNGAUNUCAGUCUGAAUGAAGCUGCAUUGUUUGAUGAUUCACUGAUGAANAUUGAUUUUGAUUUUCUUGUAGGAUUCAUUUAGGUUGUCUUCUAGGAUUGUUGNGACUUUAUUCUUUCCAUUGUUUCUGUAAUUAUAAUUCACAUUAGGUUCUUUUUCUUCUAUUAUUGUUUCUUGUUUCUGUUUUUAGCUUUCAAUUAGUAAUUGUCUUAGGUUUCUUUUUCAUUUGUUAGGUUAUGUUUCAGCUUUUAAUUAGAAUUUGCUUUAGGUAUUAGGUUUUGUUCUAAAUCUUUCUUUCCUUUGUAGGUUCUCUUUCAAGCUGUCCAUUAGGAUUUAUUUUCCCUUUUCGUCAUUCAUUGUUCAUGUUAGGAUUGGUUUAGGUUCCUUGUUCUUCUUUGGUUUAGGCUAUCUUUUUUUCUUUUCAUCUUGUUGUUUUCUUUGGUAGAACCUUAGUUUAAGAGCCGUUUUAGGUUACGUAUUCUUUUGUCUUAGCUGUUUUAAAUUUUAGUUGAAUCUAGUUAGCUUUGUAUAGAUUGUACAUUGUUGAGAUCAUGCUGUUAGACAGUUUUAGGUCCUGUUUCAUACUCUUAUUCAUUCUUUGUUGAUUUAAUGCAUUUCUUAGUUUCAUUUACUUUAAUUAGAAUUGUUAAUUGUGUUUUCUAUUUUAGAUUCAAGUAUAAGUAGUUCUAGCAUUAUUUUUACAUNUAAGUUCAGUCCAAUGAAGCAAUUUUUGCAUAAAAGAGAGUAAAAUGUCAGUUUUAGCAAAUUCCUUUACCUGGAGAGAUUUUAGGCCCAAUUUUUGUCUUUCAAGUGUGAUUUCAUGCAUGUUUGGCUUUUAAUUCUAAUUUUGCAUUGAUUCUCUAUGAUAAGCUUGCUCUUGGUAGAAUUUAGAAAUGAUUUAGGCAUUAAUUCUUUUUCUUCAUCCAUAGCCAUUCAGCUUAACCAUUUCAGUUUUAUCCAUUGUACCUUUCUUUUGAGCUAUAGCCUAUUUUUUUUUGUUUCCAUUCAUUAUAAACCCUGUUUACCCCCCAUCAUUAAUCAACCUAUAGAGAUUUGUGAGAAGUAGGGAGAGGAACUAGAACUUAGUGAGUGCAACAGAAAAGUAAGGCCAGAAAAAAAAAAGAAAAAGAAAAAGAAGCUGAGAAAAUCUGGUUGUGUGAAAAAAAAAAAGAGCAGGUCUAAAAAAGAGCAAAUUAGCAAAUGAAUUGAAAAAAAAGGAGAGACCUGACAGUUUGUAAAAACCAGAGAAAAAAAAAGAAAGAAAGAAAUUUGAUUGGCCAAAAGUUAAACAAAGAAUGCACUGAGUUUUAGGUUCCUUACUCUUCUUCUUCACAUUUUCUUCAUUUCCAUUUAAGCCUUGUGUUUUCUAACCCUUCAUGCCAUUUACAUUACAAAGCCAUUAAAGACCUUUUGAUCUAGAUGAAACCAUGAGUAGAGCACUUUCANUUAGAGUCCUUUCAAAGNUAAGAAUGGAAGUUAACAUGUCAUGAGUGAGUGAAACAGGACAACCCCAAACACUUGAGUGAAAAUGAGUGCAAACACUUGUUCCUGUGAGGCUCAAACUGACUUUUGCAUUUCUUAAUGUUUUCAUUGCUGAAAUUGGCUGAAUGAAGUUGUUUUUCAAAUGCUUGAAUUGUUGAAACUGAUGUUUAAAGUUUAGAAAUAUGAUUGUGCAGUUCUGAUUGAAGAAGUGGCUUGGAAAUAAUUGAAUUGGCAGGAUUAAAUGUGCUUUUAAAUAGGUUCAUUUUCUUUUGAGUUUUUGUUUUGGGUUUUUCUUUUUAGAUGGAGUCUUUAUUUUCAUUUUAGUUUUCCUUAUCCAGAAGGGCAGUUCUUUAAGUGUGGGGGUGUGAUAACUCUCCAUUUUUCCAUAUUUUUCUUAGUUUAGAAGUUAUUUUAGCUUCUUAUUUUCUAGAAUUAGGUUAGUUUAGCAUUUUUUCUUUAAUUUUAGAGUUUUGUAAAAAUAGUAUAAAUUUUUCGUUUUUAGACAAUAAAUAGUAUUUUUUUUAU
This 2843-nucleotide long non-coding RNA is filed under the name Vigna radiata. Its description in RNAcentral is "long non-coding RNA (VRAD_LNC017928)". The record is from RNAcentral. Lineage: Eukaryota; Viridiplantae; Streptophyta; Magnoliopsida; Fabales; Fabaceae.